Molecule: long non-coding RNA, 1485 nt
Organism: Gallus gallus (chicken)
Lineage: Eukaryota; Metazoa; Chordata; Aves; Galliformes; Phasianidae
Source: Ensembl
CAAACAUGAGAUCUUGUGGCUGCAGCCCCCUACAGAGAAGAGUGUUCAUGGAAAAUAUUGAACCCGGGGGUUGCAGUGGUAAUGCCUAAAAAGGAAGCAAGGGGAACAGGAUAAGUGACGACAGCAUGCUCCCCCUGGGGAGUGUUCUGCUGUAAUUCAGAUCUUAAAAAUUCUGAUGAGAGGAAAUGGGAUUGAACCAGCGCAGCACCUUCAAGAUGAUUCAGGGCUCGGAUGGAAGCAGUGGCUGAGGAGAGCCUGGGCCCCUGUGAGCCCCUCCUGAUCAUUGCCCAACAUGCCCGUGUGCCCUGCUGGUCCUGCCCUGUCCACUAUGAAGGCCAUUGGGUCUUCCCAGGCUGCAGCUCAAAUCCAUCCUCGCUUGUCCUGAACAAAGCCAGGAAGCGUGCUCUUCUCCUCCUCCCCUGCAGCUGGUGAUGCGUUUGGAGGCAUUAACCUCUCUGUUUGGUCUUUAUCUAUUUAUUUAUUUUUAAAGAGACAGUGCCAUCCUUGGCUCCAUUUUUUUCCUCUCCUGUGAGCUGUCCUCAGCUGCUGGCUCCACUAUGGGUGUCCGUGCUCCCAGCAGCGUCGCUGACAGAGAACAGGCUUGCAGCGUGUGCCAUCUCCUCCUUCCCUGGAUCUCUCUGCUGCUUUUUGGCCUUUCCAUGGGAUGCCCCGCUGCCAUAGCCAAGCACUUGUAGGUGUAAACCCAACCGAUGCUCCCAUGCAAAACCGUCAGCAAACCCGUGCCGUCAUUCCAGUGUGCCAGCAGCAUCCACUUUGUCUUCAGGGACUGACCACAGCGGAGGCGUUCUCCUUCCAUCUGCCCUGAGAGGCUCUAAAAAAAUAAUAAAAAAAUAAAAAAUGGAGCACGUUAUAUCCGAAGUUCAGCAUCUCCCAAAAUCACUUGCAGAUAUUCAUAAUGGUCCGGCAGCUAUUAGAGGCGCAAGAAGGAGGGAAAGGAAGGAAAUGAGCACCGGGCAAGAGGAGAAAAUUCAUGGCCCCACUGAUACGCCAUGAUAAAUAAUUAUGAGUUAUUAAUUUUAAAUUACAUCUUUAAUGCGUUGCAUGAUUUUAAUUCCCACCACAGUAUUAAUAUAGGGGCUGUGGGUUUGAUUAAUUUGAAGCAGAACAGAACGGUGUCGGUUCCUGGGGCUGCCAGCACCCACCGGGUGCAGCCGUGGGCUGCGGGUGGGAAGCACCCAAAACUGGGGGGGGGUGGUGGGGACAGCAGGUGCAUGGGGUGGGAAGCAGCCAGGAGUGUGUGUGAGCAGCAGGGUGCUGACAGUGGGGUGUUCUGGGGCUCUGUUGUUUUGGGGGGGAUGCUGUGAGUCACUGCAUUGCAGUGCUGGGCACCACUCCUGCAUCCCGCUGGGAAUGCUCGUGCACCAAGGGCUGUGCCACAGCGUGGAAGAAGAGCACACAUUCUCAUGUUCUCAUCCCUUUCACCGCUCUAUCUGAAGCCCUUAUUAACAAAGCCUGACCUCCCCU